UGCCGGGGUGGCUGAGCGGACCAAGGCGCCGGCCUUGAGAGCCGGUAUCCCAUCCGGGGUGCAAGGGUUCAAAUCCCUUCCCCGGCGU
Molecule: transfer RNA, 88 nt
Filed under: Candidatus Methanolliviera sp. GoM_asphalt
Lineage: Archaea; Methanobacteriati; Methanobacteriota; Candidatus Methanoliparia; Candidatus Methanoliparales; Candidatus Methanollivieraceae
Description: tRNA-Ser
Rfam family: tRNA
About the family: Transfer RNA (tRNA) molecules are approximately 80 nucleotides in length. Their secondary structure includes four short double-helical elements and three loops (D, anti-codon, and T loops).
Source: RNAcentral